RNAcentral lists this long non-coding RNA (7244 nucleotides) under Populus tremula. Its description in RNAcentral is "long non-coding RNA (PTRE_LNC001956)". Lineage: Eukaryota; Viridiplantae; Streptophyta; Magnoliopsida; Malpighiales; Salicaceae. The record is from RNAcentral.
GAAACUUAUGGAUCACAGGUUCAAAAGAUUUCUGGGUUGACAUUUCUGAUUUGUCAAUGGGAGUAUAAACCAGGUAUGGGUGCUCGGGGAUUUGCUGGUGCUCACUGGCAUUCCAUAAGGCAGCCUGUUGGUUGUCAGGGUGGAAAUUAGGUGCUGCUGGAGGCCCCAUGAUGUGGGUGCCCCAUUUCUUGGAUUUCUCAUCCGAUGCUGGUGGUUGAUCCUUAGGGUGGGAUUCCUCCGUGACAGUGGCAGAUGAGGUUGGUUCAUGGAAUUCUGCCUCUUGAUCAGCCUUUGAAGAUGGUGGUGGUGGAGGUACUUGUUGGGUUUCUGUCUCUUGCGGAGUGCCUGUCAUCUUUACUAAAUAAAAUUGAAUGGAAGGUAAAAGGGGGAAAACACGAAAAGCGGCAGAUCAAGAUUGGUUAUCUGAUCCAGUGAGAACUCUUGGAAGAUUUGAUGGUUUGGUUGGUGCUAAUAAACUUUUGAUUUAUAGAAGUUCAAUUCAUGGGUUAUCCAUAUUAUAUAAUUUCUAGACACGGUUUCGUUUUCUUUGCAAUGAAGAAAGAUGAAAAAUCAACCUUCUAGAUUAGCAAUAAUGUUUUCAGCGUCUUUAGCCAGCCAUAUUGUAUAAAUUAUGCUCUUUCUAGAUAUUUUGCAAAAGGGGUGCCAAUGUCAAAGCACUGCUUGAUAUUACCACGAAUAGAAAAGAAGGUUUGUCUGCUUUGCAUCAACAAAUUAUCAUGAAUGGAAAAUAUCUAAAAAAUACUAAUUUAAUAUUUUGAAUUAUGCUCUGUCCAGAUGUAGGAUAUUUUGAAAACGGAUGACAAUGUAGGAUAUUUCUAGAUUAGCAAAAAAAAACUAUAUCUAGGUGCAUGUUGUUAAUAUUUUUCUAGUAAAAAAAUUAAAUUGAAUAGAUUCGAAGUAGGUUUAAAUGUAAUUAGAAUGAUUAGUAAAAUAUAAUUAAUUUAACUAAAAAAAUUUAAGAUGAUAUUUAAAAAAAAAAAUUGAAUUGAAAACAUAUUGGAUCGACCUGAAUUAAUUCAGGUUUAUCUAUUAAAUACCCAACUUGAGUUAUAAAACCACAAUAACCAUAUAUAAAACGAAUUGAAAAAAGUUAGGUGCUCAAUUUCUAAUCAACUCAAUAUUUUGUUAAAUUUUUUAAAGUAUAUAAUUAAAAAAAUAAUCUUAGUUAACCACUAAACUUACGACUCAAGUCAUGAAACGAGGAUUAACUUAUAUAAUGUAAAAUAAAAUAAAUUAUGAAGUCUUAUUCUUAAUAAAUCAAAUGUUGAAUAAUGAAAUUAAAAUUAAAUAAUUAAAAAUUGACAAAAAAAAGACUUAAAUCAACCCGGGUCAACUUUCCAAACUUAUAACUCAAAUCAUAGGACUGAAAUAACAUCAUAGAAAAUAAAUAAAUAAAAAAUGACCUUGGUUAAAUCGAGUUAACCUAUCAAACUUGUGAGUCGAUUUAAGAAAUUUAGAUAACCCCAUUGAAAGCAAAUCACAACAAAUUAUGAAACUCAAUUCUCAAUCAAUCAAUUUUAAAAUGAUAAAAUUGAAAAAAAAAAUUAAAAAAAAUAAUAAAACAACUUGAGUCUACCUAAGUUAACCAACGAAACUUGUGACCCGAGUAAUAAGACCGGGAUAACCUCGAAAUAAAUAAUUAAGUUUAAUUUCUAAUCAAAUCAAUAUAAAAAUAUAAAUUUUUUUUAAAAAAAUUAAAAACAAACCUUAGUAAACUUGGCUAACAAACCAAACUAAUAUUUUGUGAUAUAAUGAACAGUAAGAAAUCAUUUAUUUUAGUAUUUUUUUUAAUAAUAAUUUGGUUGAUAAUAAUUUGUUAAUGUUAUCAACCUGUUAAACCAUAUAAAUUAUGCCCUUUCUAGAUGUAGGAUAUUUUUGAAAACAGACGCCAAAACUUUGAGACCAAGGGACUUCACAAACUGGUUCUAUUAAGACAGGUGCAUUUGUCAAUAAUUUCUAGAUCCUUCUUUUAGCAGCCCCAUGUUGACCAGUUACAAGGAUCACGGUCAACAGGUUAGAACCAAGAGGUUUUAUUUUUUCUAGGAUUUCAAAUUUAAACUUUAAUUACUAAUAUAAUGAUUAUUAAAAUAAAAAUUUAUAUAAUUAUUAAAUUUAAAAUUCAUAAAAUUAAUCAAAAUAAAUACAAAUUAUGUCAAAUAUUUAUAUUAAUUAAAAAAAAAAACAGAGAGAGAGAUUACGGUCUACCCUUUACAUGAACUCAAAUAUAGCACCACGCGGGAUUAGUGCUCCCUUGUUUUAAAAAUUUUAUUUGCUUCGGUUUUCUGGGACUGGCACUAGAAGGUGUACAUGGAUUUUAAUUACAAUCGUGAGUGUGUUUGAUUUUUCAUUUUUUUUCUUUAAAUAAUUUUUCAAAAAUAGAGAAACAACUGUUCAAAUAUUAAAUUUUAUGAUACAUCUAAAUCCAAUCAUUAAGACUUGAUUUGUAAAUUCGAUAUGGUGGGUGCUGACGUGUCAUAUUGUGUCUCGUGGCUUUUACAAUCCGCCACAUAAGAAAAAGUUUACUGGUUGGGUAUGACAUGGCAUCCUUGAAUGGGUGAGGAGACCUUUUUGAUCAUUGACUAUUUAAAGGGACUUGACCAAGAGGACAUCCGUGGUCGAUGUAACAUAUUCAUCAGCUUUAAUGACAAAUCGUACAUACAUUACAUGCAAAUUCUCGAAGCAUGUGACAUUGUUUUUUUACGUAACCACUAAGAAUAUUUCGUAAUAUAUUAAUAAUGCCUGAAUACAUUUAUAUUUUAAAAGUUUUUUUUAAAAAUUUAAUUUAAUUUAAUUUUUAUUUUUUUAUUUUAAAUUAUAUGCUGAUGUUAAAAAUAAUUUUUUUAAAAAAUAUAUAUUUUAAUAUAUUUUCAAAUAAAAAAUACUUUAAAAAAUAAUUAUAACUACACCCUCAAAGACCAAUUAAAUAGAAAAAACAAAUUUUGGCUACAUAUUUAAUAUGGUAGAUUGCAUUCUCCACUUCAAACAUUUUAUGUUUUUAUAAAUUCAAAUAUUAUAAAUUAAAUUGAUAUAUUUUUAAUUUUUAUAACUAUUAAUUAAAUUGAAAAACUUAUAAUAUACUAUAACUAGGUAUAAAAUUUCAUACAUAACACUCUAUCGAAAAACUAGAUUUUAAUGGUCUAAAGUUACAAACUCAUUAUUUUUAUUUCAAUUCCUUAAUUUCAUUAUUUCUUCAGAUUCAUCUAUCAAAACAUAUAAAAUCACUUUCAAUGAUUUUCUGUCAAUCUAACAUUCACUCCUUAAAAGUGAUUAGAAAUUAGUAUUAUAAAACCCUAAUUCCUAAACCUUUUUUUUUUGUAAUCCUAAUAUAUAUAUAUAUAUAUAUAUAUAUAUAUAUGCAAAAACUCUCAAUUACAAAGCAAGGAUGGAGCACACACCUUAAAUUGAUAAUAAAAAAAAUAUUUUAUCUAUAAAUCAAAUCUUCUCCUUUCUCUCUCUUUCUCUGUUGAUGUAGGUUUUGAUUAUCUAAUAAAAUUAGAGUGUAAGUUACUCUAAAGUUUUGUUUUCUUUUUAUACUCUAAAUUAUUGUGUAACUACUAACUUAUAAUACCCUUAAUAAAUAAAAAGGGCAUAAUAAAAACCCUAAUUAAUUAUUUUAUUUUAUUUAUUAUUGCUAUUUUAUAUAUAUAUAUAUAUCAAAACAUGUGAAAUGUUUUAGUUAUCCCUCAACCAUAGUCACCUAUAAUUACUCAUUAAAGGAUAAUGUUGUCCUUUCCUAUUCAAUUUUUCAUGGUAUCACAGACACAUUAGUAGCCUCCAUUGAUGAGUCAGCCUUCUACGAACACAACAGCAAAUACAUAGCAUCAACAAGUUACAUGUAGUAGCAGAAGAUCAGUCAUACCAACAGCAGAAAAAACUCCAGCGACAGCAACUUCAAAACAUGUACAGGAAUAGUAGCAACUGUUAAGAUUGUCCAAAAAUAUUAGAAAAUAAUAAUUAAGACAAGAGCAUAUAUAUACGUAGUUUAUAAUCAUGAAAUUCAUUAGAUCAUGGUAAAUUUGCUAUCAUAACAAAAAGUAUAUAUAAAAGACUCUAACAUGCAUUCUAGCAUAUACCAAACUUGAUAAUGAUAUAAAAAUAAAGUCUUAGCAAGCAUACUAGUCAUACAACAUAUUUUUUAAUAAUUUAAAACAAAACCAAAAAUACAUUACUUAUUUUUUAAAACACUUUAAAAUUGAUCAAGUUUUGUUAUUGUCAAUAAUCAAUCAUUUGUCCUAAAAAUUUUAUUGAUCUUCACUUGAUGCAAUAUGAUUUUUUUUCAAUAAAUUUCUCAAAAUUUCAGCAUCAACACCUUAUUUUAAUGUAUUUCUGAACAAGAUCCAGUAAGCCAAUAAAAUAUUACUUAAUAAUCCCUCUACAAUAAAAAUUAUUUUAUAAUGAAUCUAAAUCAUGUCCAGGCCUCGACGCAUACAGACGCAUACACGUGUAAGUUUAAUCCCAAAGCUCAAUUUGCUUAGGACAUCUCCCUUUUAAAAGGGUUGGUGCUUUUUAAAUUUAAUUUUAACUUCACAACUUUUCAUUUAAUAAACAUAAAAAAGGUUUUGUUUCUUUUCUAUAUAGAAUAGAGUUUUUUUUAGAAAGUUUUUGGUUUUACAAAAAUAUAUUAACUCAUGAUUUUUUUAGAUCAAUUUCUCAUUAACCCAUAUUUUUUAAAAUCAUGUUAAUGUUUCAUAUUAAAUUAAAAUUAAUUUUUAAUAAAAUUUUAACCCAAAAAGUGAGUAGACUCUACUUUUAAUUUGGUUUUAAAUAUGUCCAUUUAACCAUAUUCUUAGAUAAGUUUUCCAACAACACAACACAUCAUUAGUAGUCCUUAAAAGUUGUAAUAGUUAUUGCAACAAUAAACAACAAUAACUACUUUUUUAUCUAGAACUAACCUUAACAACGGGACGCCAAAUUAAGAUCUUACAUGAGGUAGUAUGGUAUUUUUUUAGGGGCAUAUGAAGAUUUCCCAACCUGGAAUCAAUAAGGUCAAGUUAUAUGCUAUUUUUUUAAUGGCACAUGAAAAGUAAAACUUGCCUUUGAAGAACUUGUAAUAGUUAUCCGCAAAUUAUCAGAUUAAGUCAAGUUAUAUGCAAUUUCAAGAUAUUGAAGACUUGCAUAUCUUUCUCAAAAAAAAUAAAGAAAAGACAUCCUCGAAUUGGCUUCGUUUGUGAAGUUCCAAAAACUACUUAGUGUUUGAACUCUAGAAGAACCCCGACUCUACGGUUGAAAGAGUAGGUGGUGCUGCGUCUUUAUGCUUUUUUCUUUUGCUGCUGAUCUCACAUCGAGAACAGCUCCUUGACAGUUGAUCCUAUUUAAAAAAGAACCUUUUUUUUUUUUCUAAAUGAGUGUUUAAGAAAAUUAAUUUAAGCAAAGUAUUGUUAAGAUACGAAAAGGUUUUCUAGAUUAAAAAAAAAUGUGAAAUUUUUAUAUAACUAGUUAAUUAAAAUUCUUAAUGAACUAGAAUUUAAAGUUCUUGUUGCAAAAAGGAUAUUUUGAACUUAUAAUCUAUCUAUAAAUAUAUAAAUAUAAGGGGCAAUAUAUGCUGUUAAGGCUUUUGCAAAUUGAGAAAUGGAAAACGAUGUUGAAUGCGGUGGGAGGGUGGGGAAAGUAUAUCAGAAAAUAUAUCCAAAUGCAACUCCGUUAUCAAAAAUCUACAUAACUAUAUAAACAACAAUAAAAAAAAAAGAAAAAGAAAAAAAAAAGAAUACAUUAUAGAAGAGGAUAAAUGAAUGACAAGAGGAAAACCAAAAGAAAAUGCCCUUCAGACAACAAACAAUAAAUCCACUAGAAACAGUGAAGAUCAAAAUUUUGAAGGGCAUGAAGGAUUCAACUCCAAAUGCAAUCAUUGGCUAAGCAACAACUGGUUGAAUUGCAAUUCCUGCUUCCUUGAAACUUGACACGCUCUCUGAUAGAUUUUGCAAGGCUUUCUCGAAAUUAACGAAACCCAUAAACCAGAAGUCGUGCCCAUCGGUGCUGACAAGUUGAAUGUACUUCCUUGAUGGAUUUUCCAGCAUUGUCUCCGAGCUGACUGUGCUUAUUUUGUCCAAGGGUAUCAUAACCUGCCCAAAAUAAAUUAUUAUUGAAUUCAUUAUUAGUACCAUGAUGUACACGGAUGGCUAUGGCAAGAUAGAAAAUUUAGUUUGAGCUUUGAUUGCCAAAGACAUUUAUUUUUGCUUUGCUGUAUCUCCGUGAACUACCCUUUUAUAUAUGCACGAUUUCUCUCAACUUCACCUUUUGUUUGGAAUUUAACAGAGCUUAACUAUAUAUAUAACAAUAGCUUUGAAUGUAGUAAAAUCUAUCCGACUUGGUGUCUAGCUAGCGAUGUAUUUACCUUGUAGUAGCUCCAGGCCUCCUCUCCUGAAGGAGCAGUAUGGGACAGAGGACGGUCACUGCAGAACGCGACUCGAGCAGUUGAUAGAUAGAGCGUCCCGGCAACAGGGCCAGUAGAUGUUGACAGGUAACAAGCAAAAGUCUUCUUCAGCUUCUCAUUAGGAUCCGUUUCAAAUAUUUGCUUGAAGAGAGACUCAAAGCCACCCUCUGUGAUUGCUUUCGCCGUCAGGUUUACCUUACCCCAGGCAGAUUGUGGCACAGAUGGCCCUGUGCUAACUGCAUUAAAGUGUAUGUGCAGGUGCGUGUUAAAACAGAUCAGAAAUAAGAUUGGAAGAUACACUUGAACUGAAUUUGUUGUCCGCUUUGAUGCCAGAAAAUCGCUACUCUAUCAUGGUCACAGUGAUGAUCAAUUAGCUAAAUUUAAUACUUCAUGGUUUGUGAACAUCAACUUACGAUUGUGCCACAUGUUACGGGCUACGGUCUCUGCCUUCUUGCCCCAUCCCUGAAACUUAUGGAUCACAGGUUCAAAAGAUUUCUGGGUUGACUUUUCUGAUUUGUCAAUGGGAGUAUAAACCAGGUAUGGGUGCUCGGGGAUUUGCUGGUGCUCACUGGCAGUCCAUAAGGCAGCCUGUUGGUUGUCAGGGUGGACGUUAGGAGCUGCUGCUGGUCCCAUGAUGUGGGUGCCCCAUUUCUUGGGCUUCUCAUCCGAUGCUGGUGGGUGAUCAUUAGGGUGGGAUUCCUCCGUGACAGUGGCAGAUGAGGUUGGUUCAUGGAAUUCUGCCUCUUGAUCAGCCUUAGGUGGUGGUGGUGGUUGUGGUGGAGGUACUUGUUGGGUUUCUGCCUCUUGAUCAGCCUUAGGUGGGGGUGGUGGGGUUACUGGUUGGGUUUCUGCC